RNAcentral lists this ribosomal RNA (494 nucleotides) under uncultured bacterium. Its description in RNAcentral is "partial 16S ribosomal RNA". It matches the Rfam family "Bacterial small subunit ribosomal RNA", at positions 28 to 507 of the family's 1533-position model. The record is from RNAcentral.
GACGAACGCUGGCGGCGUGCUUAACACAUGCAAGUCGAACGGAAAGGCCUGCUUUCCCUUGUGGAUUGCGGGUACUCGAGUGGCGAACGGGUGAGUAACACGUGAGUGAUCUGCCCCCAACUUGGGUAUAAGCCUGGGAAACUGGGUCUAAUUCCCGAUAGGACUGCAGGGUGGUGCCUGUGGUGGAAAACGAUUUUCUAGUGGUUGGGGAUGAGCUCGCGGCCUAUCAGCUUGUUGGUGGGGUAAUGGCCUACCAAGGCGGCGACGGGUAGCCGGCCUGAGAGGGUGGACGGCCACAUUGGGACUGAGAUACGGCCCAGACGCCUACGGGAGGCAGCAGUGGGGAAUAUUGCACAAUGGGCGGAAUCCUGAUGCAGCGACGCCGCGUGGGGGAUGACGGCCUUCGGGUUGUAAACUCCUUUCGACCGCGAGGAAGCCACCUGGUUGGAAGGGUGGUGACGGUAGUGGUAGAAGAAGCACCGGCUAACUACGUG